CCCUUAGAUGUUCUGGGCCGCACGCGCGCUACACUGACUACUUCAACGAGUUGUUUCCUUGAUCGAAAGGUCUGGGUAAUCUUUGAAAGGUAGUCGUGAUGGGGAUAGAUCCUUGCAAUUUUUGAUCUUCAACGAGGAAUUCCUAGUAAACGCAAGUCAUCAGCUUGCAUUGAUUACGUCCCUGCCCUUUGUACACACCGCCCGUCGCACCUACCGAUUGAAUGGUCCGGUGAAUCUUUAGGACUGUGGCUGAGGCCUUGCCCUGUGCGGGUCUGGCCGUGGGAAUUUAGUUAAACCUUACCAUUUAGAGGAAGGUGAAGUCGUAACA
RNAcentral lists this ribosomal RNA (328 nucleotides) under uncultured eukaryote. RNAcentral's name for it is "partial 18S ribosomal RNA". It matches the Rfam family "Eukaryotic small subunit ribosomal RNA", at positions 1470 to 1796 of the family's 1831-position model. The record is from RNAcentral.